RNAcentral lists this transfer RNA (73 nucleotides) under Planotetraspora kaengkrachanensis. RNAcentral describes it as "tRNA-Pro". The record is from RNAcentral. Lineage: Bacteria; Bacillati; Actinomycetota; Actinomycetes; Streptosporangiales; Streptosporangiaceae.
UGCCCGGUGCGCAGGCGACGGUUACUUCGAUUCGGGAUCGAGUGGUCGCAGGUUCGAGUCCUGCCGGGGUUUC